CCACUCGCGCUCCUUUGGCAGCCUCACCUCCCUCGCCAACCUCACCGCUUUAGACAGCGCCAGCCAACAGCAGCGUUUUGUGACCCAUUCUGUUUUCCAGUCUUGUUAUAUGGAUUUUUCUCUCUCCCCAAGUAAUUCCUCAGCAUCCCCUUGGAUGGCAUCUACGGCACGUAAUUUUUUCAAACUACAACGCUGAAUCCUUUCCCCUAAUCAAAAUGGCUCCAGCACAGCUGUUCUCUAGAAGACAUCCUCCCUGAUUUCUUACAGGGCCUGUAAGAUAAUUGAAGUUGCAG
Molecule: non-coding RNA, 293 nt
Organism: Tinamus guttatus (white-throated tinamou)
Lineage: Eukaryota; Metazoa; Chordata; Aves; Tinamiformes; Tinamidae
Source: RefSeq, a predicted model, not a curated record